ACUGCUUCCUGCUAACGCACAUCUGAGUAGUAGCAGGUGACGGCUCCAGGUACUUGGGUCCCCGACACUCAUCUGGGAAACUCAGAUGGACCUCCAGCUCCUGCCUUUGGUCUGGUGCAAUCCAGCUGUUUUGGGCACUUGAGAAGUGAAUUAGGGGAUGGGAGAUCUCUAUCUGUCUCACUGUCUCUCUCUCUCUGCCUUUCGUAUAAAAAAAAAAGGCCUCAUUUUCAAUUUGAACUGCAAACAACUCCACAUUAAAAAUGAAAAGGUUCAUAGCCCACAAGAGCUACAUCAGCCUGGUGCAAGCUGCGACCUCAAGCCUCCAUAGUCAUUCUUUCUCUGAAUGGGCAGGCCCUGACUAUUACCUUGCUCUGCCCACUUAAUUUUUGCAAAGAAAAUUUCACAUGUAGCAGCCAGUUCCCUGAAGUGAAGAUUUCCUUAUGACUUUCACAGUGCCAGUUAAGUAAGAUAUCCACAUAUCUUUGUUAACAGCCACUUAACAACUUUGCAUCAUUUAAAAUGCCAGGCCAAUGAGCUGACGGUGGCCCUAGAAGGUGGCCCUAGAAGAUAACAGCAUUCAGGCGGGGGCCAGAAAUUGAUACUUCCAGUCAUUCUUGGUGGUUUGCCUGCACCGACUUUGUGAGCCAGCUCAUGAUCUCAGGAUGUAUGAAAAAAUAACAAUUGCACUACUAUUGUUCGGUUUCAUUACUACAGCACCUGCCAACUUCACAGCUUCAACAUUAAAUAAUGAAAAACAAGACAUUACUUCUGAACAUACGGUUUUAGCAACAAAAUCAAGUAGGACCUCUUUUUUUUGCUUUUUUUUUUUUUUUUUUUUUUUGAAAACAAGUAAGAACCUAUUUGGGAAGUACAUUUUUAAGUAUUUUCCCUACCUUUUCUUUAUAGGUUCUGUUUCUACAUCGACUGCCAAACUCUGGUCUUCAACCUUAAGUAAUGGAAAAACUGACCCAACAAAAUCAAGUUCUGUUUCUACAUCGACUGCCAAACUCUGGUCUUCAACCUUAAGUAGUGGAAAAACUGACCCAACAAAACCAAGUGUUGUUUCCACACAGCUCAGAACACCUGUCAAAGCUCUCAACGAAACAGAACGUGGAAAUGGCAAUGGUUCUGUAGAAAAGCCAGAAACAAGACAACAAUAUAAUCAUGCUUUGUCAGAACCAGGUAUGCUAAUAUUUAUUAUGGAAUUAUGA
This 1211-nucleotide long non-coding RNA is filed under the name Oryctolagus cuniculus (rabbit). RNAcentral's name for it is "lncRNA (ENSOCUG00000033540.1)". The record is from RNAcentral. Lineage: Eukaryota; Metazoa; Chordata; Mammalia; Lagomorpha; Leporidae.